AUUAUACCCCCUUAAUCAACAGGACCCUGUCUGUCAGUUUUAGGUUGGGGUGACCACGGAGCACAAAUAAACCUCCAUGAUGAACUGGACUAACCCAUUAUCUAAGAAAAACAUCUCAAAGAAUUAGCACACUAACAUAAAAUGAUCCGACACUCGAUCAACGAACCAAGUUACCCUGGGGAUAACAGCGCAAUCUACUUCAAGAGCCCAUAUCGACAAGUGGGUUUACGACCUCGAUGUUGGAUCAGGGUAUCCUAGUGGUGCAGCAGCUACUAAAGGUUCGUUUGUUCAACGAUUAAAACCCU
Molecule: ribosomal RNA, 305 nt
Filed under: Spinomantis aglavei
Lineage: Eukaryota; Metazoa; Chordata; Amphibia; Anura; Mantellidae
Description: partial 16S ribosomal RNA
Rfam family: Bacterial large subunit ribosomal RNA
Source: RNAcentral